This 69-nucleotide transfer RNA is filed under the name Mytilus californianus (California mussel). RNAcentral describes it as "tRNA-Cys". The record is from RNAcentral. Lineage: Eukaryota; Metazoa; Mollusca; Bivalvia; Mytilida; Mytilidae.
AGCUCGAUAGUUAAUAGUAACAGAAUAACUAAGAAUUGCAAAUUCUUCAUAGCUUUUCAGCUCGAGCUU